GAUGAACGCUGGCGGCGUGCCUAAUACAUGCAAGUCGAGCGAACAGACGAGGAGCUUGCUCCUCUGACGUUAGCGGCGGACGGGUGAGUAACACGUGGAUAACCUACCUAUAAGACUGGGAUAACUUCGGGAAACCGGAGCUAAUACCGGAUAAUAUAUUGAACCGCAUGGUUCAAUAGUGAAAGACGGUUUUGCUGUCACUUAUAGAUGGAUCCGCGCCGCAUUAGCUAGUUGGUAAGGUAACGGCUUACCAAGGCAACGAUGCGUAGCCGACCUGAGAGGGUGAUCGGCCACACUGGAACUGAGACACGGUCCAGACUCCUACGGGAGGCAGCAGUAGGGAAUCUUCCGCAAUGGGCGAAAGCCUGACGGAGCAACGCCGCGUGAGUGAUGAAGGUCUUCGGAUUGUAAAACCCUGUUAUUAGGGAAGAACAAAUGUGUAAGUAACUAUGCACGUCUUGACGGUACCUAAUCAGAAAGCCACGGCUAACUACGUG
Molecule: ribosomal RNA, 497 nt
Filed under: uncultured bacterium
Lineage: Bacteria
Description: partial 16S ribosomal RNA
Rfam family: Bacterial small subunit ribosomal RNA
Source: RNAcentral